This 404-nucleotide ribosomal RNA is filed under the name uncultured bacterium. RNAcentral's name for it is "bacterial SSU rRNA". It matches the Rfam family "Bacterial small subunit ribosomal RNA", at positions 28 to 416 of the family's 1533-position model. The record is from RNAcentral.
GAUGAACGCUGGCGGCGUGCCUAACACAUGCAAGUCGUGCGAGAAAGUUCCUUCGGGAGCGAGUAAAGCGGCGCACGGGUGAGUAACACGUAGGUAACCUGCCCCCCCAGUCUGGAACAACUAGAGGAAACUCUAGCUAAUGCCGGAUGAGACCACGAUCCCUUCGGGGGUUGCGGCCAAAGAUGGCCUCUACUUGUAAGCUAUCGCUGAGGGAUGGGCCUGCGGGCCAUUAGCUUGUUGGUGAGGUAACGGCUCACCAAGGCUGUGAUGGCUAGCCGGUCUGAGAGGAUGACCAGCCACACUGGGACUGAGACACGGCCCAGACUCCUACGGGAGGCAGCAGUGGGAAUAUUGCGCAAUGGGCGAAAGCCUGACGCAGCGACGCCGCGUGGGUGAUGAAGGCC